UGUGUAAGCGUAGCGAUACGUUGAGCUAACCAAUACUAAUGAACCGUGAGGCUUAACCUGACAACACCGAAGGUGUUUUAG
Molecule: ribosomal RNA, 81 nt
Filed under: Providencia alcalifaciens
Lineage: Bacteria; Pseudomonadati; Pseudomonadota; Gammaproteobacteria; Enterobacterales; Morganellaceae
Description: partial 23S ribosomal RNA
Source: RNAcentral